This 440-nucleotide long non-coding RNA is filed under the name Macaca nemestrina (pig-tailed macaque). RNAcentral's name for it is "lncRNA (ENSMNEG00000045969.1)". Lineage: Eukaryota; Metazoa; Chordata; Mammalia; Primates; Cercopithecidae. The record is from RNAcentral.
GCAGGCAAGAGUUUGGGACUGUUUUUUUUUUUUCCUCCUGAUUUAUCUCAAUUGCCUGAAACAAUGACUGGCACAUAUUAGACACUUACUACACCUUGGACAGAACACCCCUCCCGCCCCCGAUCUUGACAUCUGACCUCAGUCUCUGGGAAACCCUAAUGCAAGCAGAAGCCUGGAGACCCUGAAAUUCCCCAUGUCUGGGAGCAUCUAACAGCAUCGGGAGCUCAGUGUCACAGGGCAACCAGCAACUGUAUCUACACAUCUUUAUAAUUCAAGUGUUCUAGCCCACAUCCACAUGAGCUCACUGCUUCUGUUGUGGAAACCGCAUUGAAAGGGCAGUGGCCCUGGUGUUAGAAGAUUCCAGUCUGUGUCCUGGUGCUGCCCCGACCCUGGGUAAGUCCAUGAACCUUUCUUUUUGAGUCUUAGACUUUCCAUCUCAA